Molecule: long non-coding RNA, 2087 nt
Filed under: Physcomitrium patens
Lineage: Eukaryota; Viridiplantae; Streptophyta; Bryopsida; Funariales; Funariaceae
Description: long non-coding RNA (PPAT_LNC013331)
Source: RNAcentral
AAAAGAGCCAUAAUUUUUUUGAGAAAAUGAAAUAUCUUUACUACAAACAAUACCUUCCUUUAAACGCAACAAUAAUUGCAGUACAGCAAUCUUCACUGCACACAAUUCCCUACUUGAUGGCUAUCAAAAGCAAAGCAUGAUGGUAAAUUAAUCUCCAUUUUUUUUUUCCUCCUGAAUUUGUGAGAGAUUUUGAGAGGCAAAUUUGAAGCAAUUAGGAAGCAUCAACUGAUUUGAGUUUUGCCAAAGAGCUUCAUCAGCAAUUUGUCAUUUAUAUUCUAUUAACACCUCUAAUUUUGUGUCAAUAUAUAUAUAUAUAUAUAUAUAUAAUGAGAGGGGGAAUGUUGAAUAGAUCCAAGUUUUUACUAAAUUAACUGACCCAUGAUGAAGAAUAUGAUAAUCAUGAUGAAUGUGGUUGGUUUUCAUUGGUUUUGGAUGUAGUAGUGGAGAAAUGAAUCUACAUGUCAUUAUUUUUUCUUUUUUUCUUUUCAUGAUUAAUAGGAUGGGUGGAUCAAUUUAGUAAAAGCUUGGGUCUAUUUAACAUUCCUCUUUCAUUGUUGUGAAAGAUUUAAGUAUUUUAGGACUUUCAAAAAACGAAAAAGGAGCUCAUGCUAGGUAGUAGCUCAAACAUCAAACAUCAAAUGAUGUGAAGUGCAAUUUCUAGAUUCUGAUGAACCCCUCCACACUUGUCACCAUCUUCUUUGGUUCAUGGUUGUGUAAAGUUGAAUGAGAAUUAGAACUUUGCAAAUGCAAUUCAUAAGUAUUGACAAUUUUAUCUUUUUCAAUCAAGCAUAAAAUAUGAUCCAUUGCCUAAAAACCACUUGUGACAAUGCCAGACCAUGUACAACCAAAUAAUAAUAACAAUAAUAACACUAAUCAUAAAAUAGUAACAACGAUUAUCAUUAUUAUUAUACUUGUAGAAAACCAUUAUUAUAAUGAAUUUCAUAACUCGUAUUCCAACCUAUUAAAUUCAACUUCAUGGAUGUGUGUGUCUCUGAUGGGAAGUUUGACAAAAUGCUGUGAACUUGGUCACCCUGCUACUGGCACUUUCAUCCCACAUUCAUCACCCACACCUAAUACUCAUCCACAUUCAUCCACCCCCCUCCCAGAGCAACCUCUAAAUGCACACACACCAAUCAACUGCUUUUUUCUAUAGUGUGAGAAAACGAAGUUUUUGCAUGUGCAUUUCAUUUAAUAUCUAUUUUUAUUAUUAUAACAAGAGAGUGAUGCCAGCAUGGCAAGCAAGUGUGUGUGAGUGUGAGCGUGUGUAGAGGGCAGACCAAGGCAAUGAUGAUGAUGAUGGGCUCCUAGUUCCAUUUCAAGCCAGGUCAAGGGACACUUUAAAAAGUCAGUCAGUCAGUCUGUGAGAUUAUAUAUAUAUAUAGUAUGCCCUUGUAUUUAGUAUGUGUGUAUUCAUUCUCUCAUUCUCAACAUAUUUAUAGAUAGAUAGAUAUAGACAUGAUAGAGAGCAAGAUGGGUGUGGGUGUCCUGGUGGAAGUGGGUGUGCUCCAAAUAUGGGGCUGUUCCAGUUAUUCCAGUUGGGAUCCUCAUUCCAACCUGGCACUGUGCCCCUGUCUGUCUCUCAUUCACUUCCUCUUUCAUUCUCAUUCUUUCUCUUUCUCUGCCCCAUUUAUUAUUGUCUAUCCCCCCCCACUCUCUUGCUCUCUCUCUCUCUCUCUCUCUGUCUGCCUGUCUGGCAUGGUAGUGGUGGUGGUGAUGGGGGUGCCUCUCUGCCCUUUUGUUGACAAGGUGUCAGAUCUGGGGUCACCCUCCUGCAUCACACACAACUUGCUUGCCACAUGGUUGCAUGAUAAAAAUAACGCUCUCUCUCAUUUAAUUAAUUAAAUAAACCGUUUCAUACUUCCAUUUCUUUCCAGUACUUGUGUGUUUUGUGCCUAAUCAAGGAGUGUUGAUCCAUUAUAUUAAUAUUGACAGUGUGGGGUGUGAAUAUCUAUCUGUAUAUAUUUAGAUGUAGAUAUGUUUAUUGUGCAUGUGUUUUGGAUAAGUGCUUAAGUUAUGGCAGGAGAGUUGCUCACAUGGUUGAGUUGGAAGAGCUGCUCACUUUUUUUUAAUAUUCUUAUUUUGCUUUG